UACGUAGGUGGCAAGCGUUGUCCGGAUUUACUGGGUGUAAAGGGCGUGUAGACGGGACUUAAAGUCAGAUGUGAAAUACCGCAGCUCAACUGCGGGGCUGCAUUUGAAACUUAAGUUCUUGAGUGCAGGAGAGGAAAGCGGAAUUCCUAGUGUAGCGGUGAAAUGCGUAGAUAUUAGGAGGAACACCGGUGGCGAAGGCGGCUUUCUGGACUGUAACUGACGUUGAGGCGCGAAAGCGUGGGUAGCAAAC
This 250-nucleotide ribosomal RNA is filed under the name uncultured bacterium. RNAcentral's name for it is "partial 16S ribosomal RNA". It matches the Rfam family "Bacterial small subunit ribosomal RNA", at positions 524 to 773 of the family's 1533-position model. The record is from RNAcentral.